Molecule: ribosomal RNA, 773 nt
Filed under: uncultured Neocallimastigales
Lineage: Eukaryota; Fungi; Neocallimastigomycota; Neocallimastigomycetes; Neocallimastigales
Description: partial large subunit ribosomal RNA
Rfam family: Eukaryotic large subunit ribosomal RNA
Source: RNAcentral
CGCAUCUGUGCAUGCAGCAUAUCAAUAAGCGGAGGAAAAGAAACUAACAGGAUUCCCUUAGUAACGGCGAGUGAAGCGGGAAGAGCUCAAAUUUGAAAUCUUCAAGGUUUUACCUUGACGAAUUGUAGUUUAAAGAAGUGUUUUCUGUUGAAGUUUUGGUAAAAGUUCUUUGGAAUAGGACAUCAUAGAGGGUGAGAAUCCUGUAUUUGACCAUUAUUUUCAGCUGUGUGAUACACUUUCAAAGAGUCGGAUUGUUUGGGAAUGCAGUCCAAAAUGGGUGGUAAAUUUCAUCUAAAGCUAAAUAUUGGCGAGAGACCGAUAGCGAACAAGUACCGUGAGGGAAAGAUGAAAAGAACUUUGAAAAGAGAGUUAAACAGUACGUGAAAUUGUCAAAAGGGAAGCGUUUGACACCAGUGUUGUUUUCUCGAAAAUCAAUUAAAAAGAGUUUGAUUUUGUUGUGUAUUGACCUUAACAGCUUGCAUUUCAAUUUUCUUGCUUUUUUUAAUGCACUUUUCGUUUAACAAGUCAACAUCAGUUUCUUUUGUUGUAAAAAGGUCAUUGGAAGGUGGCUUUCUUUUCGGAGAAAGUGUUUAUAGCCUUUGACUCCUGCAAUCGGAGAGACUGAGGUCUGCAGCGUAGAUCCUUCGGGGUUAGAUACAUUUGUGCUAAGUUAUAGCUUUUUAUAGACAACUUGUUGACUAUGAUUAGUCUUGUAGCUUACUCGCUUAUGCUAUUUUACCUACGCUUAGGAUGUUGACGCGCGUGUGUGCGUG